Molecule: ribosomal RNA, 1463 nt
Filed under: metagenome
Description: bacterial SSU rRNA
Rfam family: Bacterial small subunit ribosomal RNA
Source: RNAcentral
AGAGUUUGAUCCUGGCUCAGGAUGAACGCUAGCGGCGUGCCUAAUGCGUGCAAGUCGAACGGGAUCCCAUAGAUUCGUCUAAGGGUGAGAGUGGCGAACGGGUGAGUAACACGUAGGUGACCUGCCCCAGAGAGGGGGACAACCAGUGGAAACGCUGGCUAAUACCCCGGAUGUCAAGGUUUUUAGAAACCCUUGACUGAAGCUCCGGCGCUCUGGGAGGGGCCUGCGGUCCAUCAGCUUGUUGGUAGGGUAACGGCCUACCAAGGCGAAGACGGAUAGGGGGCGUGAGAGCGUGACCCCCCACACUGGUACUGACACACGGACCAGAUACCUGCGGGUAGCAGCAGCAAGGAAUAUUGCCCAAUGGACGAAAGUCUGAGGCAGCAACGCCGCGUGAAGGAAGAAGGCUUUCGGGUUGUAAACUUCUUUUUUGGGGGAAGAGAAAGGACGGUACCCCAAGAAUAAGAUCCGGCUAACUACGUGCCAGCAGCCGCGGUAAAACGUAGGGAUCGAGCGUUAUCCGGAUUUACUGGGCGUAAAGCGCGUGCAGGCGGUUUUCUAAGUCGGACGUGAAAGCUCCUGGCCCAACUGGGAGAGGCCGUUCGAAACUGGAAGACUUGAGGAUGGUAGAGGUAAGUGGAAUUCCCGGUGUAGUGGUGAAAUGCGUAGAUAUCGGGAGGAACACCAGUGGCGAAGGCGGCUUACUGGGCCAUUCCUGACGCUGAGACGCGAAAGCUAGGGGAGAGAACGGGAUUAGAAACCCCGGUAUUCCUAGCCGUAAACGAUGUCAACUAGGUGUAGGGGGUAUCCAACCCCCCUGUGCUGUAGCUAACGCGUUAAGUUGACCGCCUGGGGACUACGGCCGCAAGGCUAAAACUCAAAGGAAUUGACGGGGACCCGCACAAGCAGCGGAGCGUGUGGUUUAAUUCGAGCUACGCGAAGAACCUUACCAGGGUUUGACAUGUACGUGGUAGGAAGGUGAAAGCCGACUGACCCUUCGGGGAGCGUACACAGGUGCUGCAUGGCUGUCGUCAGCUCGUGCCGCGAGGUGUUAGGUUAAGUCCUGUAACGAGCGCAACCCUCGUCGUUAGUUAUACGUGUCUAACGAGACUGCCGGUGAUAAGCCGGAGGAAGGUGGGGAUGACGUCAAGUCAGCAUGGCCUUUAUAUCCUGGGCUACACACACGCUACAAUGGCCGGUACAAUGGGUAGCCAAGCCGCGAGGCGGAGCCAAUCCUUCAAAGCCGGUCUCAGUUCGGAUUGUAGGCUGCAACUCGCCUGCAUGAAGUCGGAGUUGCUAGUAAACGCGCGUCAGCAACAGUGCGUUGAAUACGUUCCCGGGUCUUGUACACACCGCCCGUCACGUCAUGGAAGUUGGCAACGCCUGAAGUCAGUGAGCUAACCCUAACGGGAGGCAGCUGCCCAAGGCGGGGUCGGUAACUGGGACGAAGUCGUAACAAGGUA